CUGUGGUCACACGUCAGGCUCCUCAUAACCUGACUCCUUUAUUCCCUGAAAGCUCAUGAUAACAGGGCCUAUGGCCCCUCAGGAGCGCCCAGUAAACACUGGUUCGAUGAAUGAACCCACGACCGGUCACCAAACCUACACACAUGAAUGUCACAAGAACUCCCCAGGCAGCUCACCAUUUAGCACUACAUGGACAGCAAUUCUCUAAAAUGUUUUCAUUUUAGCAUCACAAUUUCACUUUUUUCUUCCUCCUUUCACUUUAGUUUACUGUUUUAUGGUGUCUUUUUUUUUAAUUGCAGUAACAUUGGUUCAUAACAUUAUAUAAAUUUCAGGUGUACACCAUUAUAUUUUGAUUCCUGUAUAGACGACAUCAUGUUCGCUACCCAAAGACUAAUUACAAUCCAUCACCACACACCUGUGCCUAGCCACCCCUUUGACCCUCCUGCCUCCCCAAUUCUCUUUGGGUAACCACCAAUCCAAUCUUUGUUGCUAUGUGUUUGUCAUUGUUUUUAUCUUCUAUUUAUGAGUGAAAUCAUACGUGUUUGACUUUCUAUCUCUGAUUUAUUUCACUUAGCAUAAUACCCUCAACGUCCAUCCAUGUUGUUGCAAAUGGCCAGAUUUCAUCAUUUCUUGUGGCUGAGUGGUAUUCCAUUGUGUACAUAUACCACAUCUUCUUUAUCCGUUCGUCCCUUGAUGGACACAUAGGUUCCUUCCCAGUCUUGGCUAUUGUGAAUAAUGCUGUGAUGAACAUAUGGGUGCAUAUAUUUUUAUGCAUUCAUGUUUUUAUGUUCUUUGGAUAAAUACCCAGCAGUGGAAUAGCUAUAUUUUAUGGUAGUUCUAUUCCUUUUUUUUUUUUUUUUAAUUCCUUAUGACUUUUUCUUCUUCUCCCCAAAGUCCCCCAGUACAUAGUGGUAUAUUCUAGUUGUAGGUCCUUCUGGCUCUGCUAUGUGGGACACAGCCUCAGCAUGGCUUGCUGAGUGGUGCCAUGUCCGUGCCCAGGAUCCAAAACGGCAAAACGCUGGGCCGCUGAAACAGAGUACGAAAGCUUAACCACUCAGCCAUGGGGUCGGCCUCUGGUAGUUCUAUUCUUAAUUUUUUGAGGAAUCUCCAAACUGUUUUCCAUAAUUACUGCACCAGUUUGCAUUCCCACCAGCAGUGUACGAGGGUUCCCUUCUCUCCACAUCCUCUCCAACAACUUCUUGUUUCCUGUCUUGUUAAUUAUAACCAUUCUGACGGGAGUGAGGUGAUAUCUCAUUGUAGUUUUGAUUUGCAUUUCCCUGAUAGUUAAUGAUGUUGAACAUCUUUUCAUGUGCCUGUUUGCCAUCUGUAUAUCUUUUUGGAGAAAUAUCUGCCCAUUUUUUAAUUGGGUUGUUAGGUUUUUCGUUGUUGAGGGGUAUGAGCUUUUUGUAUAUUUUGGAUAUUAACCCCUUAUCAGAUAUAUGGUUUGCAAAUAUCGUCACCCCAAUUGUUAGGUUGUCUUUUCGUUUUGUUGAUGGUUUCCUUUGCUGUGCAGAAGCUUUUUAGUUUGACAUAGUCCCAUUUGUUUAUUUUUUUCUAUUAUUUCCCUUGCCUGGUCAGACAUGGUCCUUGAAAAUAUGCUGCCAACACCAAUGUCAAAGAGCAUACUGCCUAUGUUUUUUUCUAGAAGUUUAAUGAUUUCAGGUCUUACAUUCAAGUCUUUAAUCCAUUUUGAGGUAAUGUUUGUGCAUGGUGUAAGAUAAUGGUCUACUUUGGUUCUUUUGCAUGUGGCUGUCCAGUUUUCCCAACACCAUUUAUUGAAGAGGCUUUCCUUUCUCCACUGUAUGCUCUUGGCUCCCUUGUUGAAAAUUAGCUGUCUGUAGAUGUGUGGGUUUAUUUCUGGGCUCUCGAUUCUGUUCUAUUGAUCUGUGUGUCUGUUUUUGUGCCAGUAACAUGCUGUCUUGGUUACUAUAGCUUUGUAGUAUAUUUUGAAAUCAGGGAGUGUGAUGUCUACAGCUUUGUUCUUUUUUCUCAGGAUUCCUUCGGCUAUUGGGGGUCUUUUGUUGUUCCAUAUAAAUUUUAGGAUACUUUGUUCUAUUUCUGUGAAAAUUGUUGGAACUUUGAUAGAGAUUGCAUUGAAUCUAUAGAUUGCUUUAGGAAGGAUGGACAUUUUAACUAUGUUAAUUCUUCCAAUUCAAGUGCACAGAAUAUCUUUCCAUUUCUUUGUGUCUUCUUGAAUUUCUUUCAACAGUGUUUUAUAGUUGAAACAGUGUUUCAACAGUGUACGGCUCUUUCACCUCUUUGGUUAAGUUCAUUCCCAGGUAUUUUAUUCUUUUUGUUGCGGUUGUAAAUGGCUAUCGUGUCUUAGAGCAUCAUGCAGUUCCAUGGAUGAGCAGCACACAGGAUUGAGAAGCAAUUCCCCCAAGAAGCAGGAGGGUGAUAAUAAGAACUCAGACCCAUGUGACACUUGACAGUUCACACAGUGCUUUUGUGGCAAUCCCAGUGUUUUCAGCUUUGGAGGAGACUGAAACGAAGGACAUGGAAAAGAAUGUCGUUGUCUCGGAGACACAAAAGUGACCGGAGAAAUGUAUCUAGAAAUGAAACUAGGGCUAAGUGCAAGUCUGUGACUCCGCCCCAUCUUCACCUGACGUUUCUAACCCAGGUCAGAGGAUGAUGCACAUUCUCCACCAACAGCUGCAGAAGGGAAACAAUCAAAGGAAGGAGUGGGGAGGGAAGCAGCUCACACCUACACAAGUGUCUCCAGCGGUUCUUUAAAAGGAGGUGAGUUGGGACUGAGAUUUCUCCCGAGCACCAGAGACUCAGACCAGCCAGACGGGCACCACAGAAAGACUCAGUGAUCUGGUCCCCUCUCGGCCAGUGACCUUGCCGGGGGUGGUGAGUGAGGCCACCGCCUGACCACCUGGACCUUCGCUGACUGCAUUUGGAAAAUAGUCUCUCUUUCUUUACAGAGUGGGGAGAGUUAAUUCAUGUUUGCAAAGACCUUUCCAAUCCUUGUAAAAAGGUUCUCUGCCAGCUCUAAUUAUCUGGGAUAUCAGCUGAGACUCAGUUCUCUCUUGGCACAGCAUCUCUGCCCCGGAAGAUGGCAAAUGAGAUUGCUGCUUGGCUGCUGUCAGGAUCAGCCGUCACCAUUGAGCAUCCAGCUGGUGUGGUUGUGUAUCUCUGUAUCCAGUUUACUGCCCAGGUUCCAAACCUCUGCGGGGAGAUGGUGACACUAGACAUGCACUCCUACCCCCUCCCACCCCAUGAGGAGGCAGCUGCCUAUGGGGUACAAUUCAAGAAGCUCCUAAAAGGCCUCCCACAGCCAAACUCAACUCCUCCAUUCCUUCUCAGGAACUGGAAAUCCCUCCACUAAAAAUCCAGUCUUGGGGCCAGCCCAGUGGCGCAGUGGUUAAGUUUGCACAUUCCACUUUGGUGGCCCAGGGUUCGCCGGUUCGGAUCCCGGGUGUGGACAUGGCACUGCUUGGCAAGCCAUGCUGCGGCAGGCGUCCCACAUAUAAAGUAGAGGAAGAUGGGCACGGAUGUUAGCUCAGGGCCAGUCUUCCUCAGCAAAAAGAGGAGGAUUGGCAGCAGAUGUUAGCUCAGGGCUAAUCUUCCUGAAAAAAAACCAAAAUCCACUCCUUUGGGGUGAAGGGGAACAUUUAUAUGAUGACAGACAAAUAAUAAUGCACAACUGAAAUUUCCCAAUGUUGUAAAGUAUUAUGACCUCAAAAAUAGCUUUUUUAAUAAAUAAAUAAAUAAAAUCCACUCCUUUUGGUGUUGGAUGUUUUUCCUAAGAGUGCAGUCAUGUGGAAAGACAAUCCAGCCAGGAGUCAGAAUACCCAGCUCUGGGUUCCCUCCCCUUGGUUCAGUACCGGCUCUGCUCUUUCUAGCCUGGUGACCUGGGAUAAACCCACUCUCUUCCUCUCUCAUUUUUUUUCCGUCUAAAAUGGCACCGCUAAUGCCUAUCUCGCAGGGCUGCUUGAGGAUCAGGCGAGAUAAUGGAUGUGAAAGCCAAGCGUGGCAGAAAUGUAAGAAGCAUUAUUAUUACUAAAAUGCUGGUCUGCCUGGGCUGGCUAAUCCCUACUGGGGAUUAAUUGAUGGCUCUCAGGACUAGGCAGCCUCCUGGGGCGGCAGAAGAGAAGAGCCAGGGGGACCACAGAGGGGAGGAAGACGCCGGAAGAGGAGAAGGGAGGGACCCUCUACUGCUGGGAGCACCUGUGGGAGCAGCCGUGCUCCCACAUCAGCUUCUGCACCCUGCCCCUCUAUUGCCCAAAGAUGUGACGACUAGGGGGUCAUUGCUCAGCUAAAAAGCCAUUGGGAAAAAUAACCGAAUGUGCCUGGUCUACACAGACACAUCACUCAGGUAAUUCUGGCAAAAAGGCCCAGUUUUGGCAUGAGUAGCCUACAUGCGUCAGACCAGAGUAAUUGCUUUCUUUGUCAGAAUUUCCUGGAUCACCUCCUCCCCUUUGUUUGGCUGAAAGAACCAGCCUCCCAUGUGGGAGCCUGCUUGCCAAACAUUAUUGCAUCCUUAGAGAUGAAAGGCACCGCGUGAGCGAUUUUCCAUAAGGUGUCGGCACAUGUGUUAAGUGUUACAAGGGGGAAACGCACCCAUGGGUUUCAUCUGGGAGGAUGACGUGGUAGAGGAGAUGUGGGGAGGGGGAGACCCAACCACAAGAGGAGCUGCUUCUCAGGACCUGCGGGGAUCCGGGCUCUGUUCAGGGCAUUUUGCAUUAAAAAUCUCCUUUAAUCCUCACAACAGCCCUCUGAGGCAGCAUCCAGGAAUGGAAAGAACUUGAGUUGAGAAGCCAAACAUUAAUAGAUUUGGCUCCCUAGCCUGCCGUUUACUGUGUGAACUGGGCAAGCUGCUUGAUGGUGGGAGCUUCAGUCUUCUAUCUGUUGAAUGCAACUGAUGAUGGUGGCCUCGGAGUGUGAGGAGGGAGAGUUCCGUGUAUGACGAUGAAGCCCCUGCCAGGCACACAGCAGGCAUCGAGAAGUGGUGUUCUAGUGUCGUUCUUCACGGAUAAGGAUGCCGACGAGCAAGCAGCUUAGGAGCCCACCGAUGUCACACUGCCGUCAAUAACAGAGCCGGAUCCGGCUCCCUCCACAGGUGUUUGCUUGGAGGCAGUUUAAGGCGGACCCUUCACAGCCUCUCCCACAGGGUUCCAUUUGAGUCUCACCUCCAGCGUUUGUGCGCAGGUUGCAGGCACGAUCAUGUGUUGUUCUGUAGCCACAGCACUCCUCACACAGCGCCUCGCACGCCGUAGUUACUUAGAAAUGUUUGUUAAAAGAGUGGAAGAAUUAAGAAGAGCCCAGAAUAGAUGGACAGAGCUGAGUCUAGGUAGCUGUGUAACAGGUAUCCACCACAUGCCUGAUAACUUGGAGUUGGGACAUGCGGUCCCCUCACGCUGCAUGAGAGUAGUGUGGACACUUUCUGACGCCCAUCUUCAUUAUAGGAAGAGGGACAGCCCUCGGAGGAGAAUCUGUCAGAGGUAACAGAAAUUACCUCAAACAGAAAUGGCACAAACUGGGGACCCAAUGACGAAAAAACAUUGGGAAGAUAAAAUGGAAUCAUGGGCAGGAACAUGCUUUGAAAAUGCUGGAGCCUAUGAAAAGGAAAAGGAUCACCACUUACGUGAACAACAGAAUCCUGGAAGCACACAGCAGGCCCCCCUCAUUCGCGGUUUUGCUUUCCACAGUUUCAGUUAGCCAUGGUCACCCAAGAUCUGAAAAAAAACUAUGUCAUGAUGCCUCCAUCACUCACCUCACUUUAUUUCAUCAGUAGGCAUCGUAUCAUCUCACGUCAUCCAAGAAGAAGGUGAGCACAGUACAAUAAGAUAUUUUGAGAGAGACAGAGCCCACAUCCACAUAACUUGUAUUAUAGUAUAUUGUUAGAAUUGUUCUAUUUUGUUCUUGUUGUUAAUCUCUUACUGUGCCUAAUUUAUAAAUAAACUUUAUCAUAGGUAUGUGAGUAUAGGAAAAAUCAUAGUAUAUAUGGGGUUUGGUACCACUGGCGGUCUCGGGCAUCCACUGGGGGUCUUGGAAGGUAUGCCCUGCACAUAACGGGUGACUUCUGUAGUUAGUGGGUUCUUGUUUGAGAUUCCCUGGGUUGUAGUGAGAAUAUAGGAAAGACAAAGGCCAGGCAGAAUACUCCGAAGAUUGUGGGUUUAGAAGAAUGAAACCAGGAAUGGCACCCUCUCCCCUCCCCCAACUGUUUUCUGCACACAGCUCAGGACCUGAGGCCACAGGAAGCAGUGCCCUUGACUCCCAGAGGAAUGAAGGUGCACUGACAGCAAACCCUCCAGUUAACUACAGAGGGGCAGGCGUGAUGGGGGCUCCAGCCUCCUGGCCAAGUCCACGCUUACUGUGAGCCACCAUCUUUCUGCUGAAAGGCCAAGCCCUGGCACGCAGGCUUUGAGAAGCUGGGGGGCCCCGCCCCCGCCGGCAGUCCGCCUCAGCCCAGCCUGUCUGGCCUGGCACAGGGGUGGCACAGGCCAGGUGCCUGUAAUUACAGACUGGAAUGAACCGGAAGCUGAGAGCUUUUGAGGGCAGGGGCUGAGGCUGAUGUUCUUUGCUGCCUCCGAACCGUGACCACAGCAGGCCUCAUAAGGAGCUGUUGAUUUGAGCUCCUGCAGACUGAAGGCAAGGUCUGUGCCUCCAGGCAAAGCAUCAGCUCCUGCCCCGUGACACGGCUCACCCCUCAGAGGUCUUGGCCCUGGCCUGCUGGGAGAAGCCACGCAGCUCCCAACAAUUGCUGCGGGCCCUCAGAGCGGCUAAUUAGGGUCGUGCCAGGCCAACUGCAACCUGCCAUCAGGAGCUCCUGGCCGGCUUCCUAUUCCCUCUGGGACUCUGCCAUCUCCCUCAUAGAGUUAGAAAAGACACAUACGUCCGCUGAAGUCGAGGAGUCACGCCCCGAGUGGGGAGGUGGCAGAAAACAGGUAAAUGGCAGCCAACAUAGUGAUGUGAACGUGCGUGCUGGCCGAGGAGGGCUUCCUGGGCGAAGUCGUUCAGGAACGGGGCCUGGAAGGGCAGGUGAACAGGAAAUGCAAGAGGACACACUGAGCUGGCAUUUUCCCCCUGUGAUGGUAAUCUCAUGUGUCAGCUUGACUGGGCUGAAGGAUGCCGGAAAGCUGGUAAACAUUACUUCCGGGUGUGUCUGUGAGGGGGUCCCAGGACAGAUUAGCACUUGAAUCAGUAGGCUGAGUAAAGAAGAUGCCCUCGCCAAUGCAGGUGGGCUUCAUUCAAUCCUCUGCGGGCCUGAAUAGAACAAAAAGGCAGAGGAAGGGCAAAUUCAAUCUCUUUGUUUGAGCUGGAUGUUCAUCGUCUCUUGCCCUUGGACAUCAGUGCUCCUGCUCCUCGGGCCUUCAGACUUGGACUGAGAAUUGUGCCAUCGGCUCCCGGGUCUCAGGCCUUCAGCCACCGACUGAGUUACACCACUGGCUUUCCUGGGUCUUCAGCUCGCGGACGGCAGAUUGGGGACUUCUCAGCGUCCAUAAUUAAAUUGGUGGGGCUGGCCCGGCAGCACAGCGGUUAAGUUUACACGCUCCGCUUCGGCGGCCCUGGACUCGCCGGUUCGGAUCCCGGGUGCGGACAUGGCACCACUUGGCAAGCCACGCUGUGGUAGGCAUCCCACAUAUAAAGUAGAGAGGAAGAUGGGCACAGAUGUUAGCUCAGGGCCAUCCUUCCUCAGCAAAAAGAGGAGGAUUGGCAGCAGAUGUUAGCUCAGGGCUAAUCUUCCUCAAAAAAAAAAAAGAAAGAAAUUGGUAAACUUUGAACUUCAAAGGAAGCAGGAGAGAAGUAAAGAAGAUGCAGAAAUGAAGUAUGAACUGGAAUGCAUGCUCUGUAAUUCUCAGCCCUGCUCUUGAAGAGCUUCCAUCCUAAGUAGUGUGUGGUGCACGAAGCACUCCCUUCUGAGGGAAAAGCAGCGGAGGGAAAACCAAGUUCAGCUCUGACCCUCCUUUAAGACCUUUCGAAAAAGGUGUUCCUUCUUUUGGCUUCUGUCUUCCACGUAUAAAAUGGAAGUAGCAUUUCCAUUUGGAAUUUAUUUACUGAGCAGACAUUUCUCAUACAUAAGUGGUUCCCUAUCUCAUGCCGUGUAUGGCAAUACAUUUCCAAUAUGGCAGCAAGCAAAACGCAAAAAGCAUUAAAAAGAAGAAAACACAACUGCAUAUUGAUUCUAGCAAUGGAGCAAAGAAAUUUCUAGCUCUUGACAUACUGAGGCUGUCAUCAUACAAGAUAGAUAGGUUUGAAUAAGUAAAUCUUUGUACAAAAAAAUUCUACAAAAUAUAUAUUAAAAGGAAAACAAUAGAAUGGGGAAAAUAUGUCAUCAAUAUAACUGCAAAGAGCUUAUUAACAAAAUUAUUAAAAUUGGUAGAAGUGCAUAAUGUACCCACCUAGAUGGCCCUCCAAGAAGUGAGCAGAGAGCCAUCCAGGUGAUGUACUCAGGAGCCACUGUCACAGCCCCAGGGAGCCACAGUGUGACCCGGAGAGAGCCUCAGAUUAGUAAUGAGUCAGAGUCCACACAUUCAACUUACUUAAUGAGCCUGUGUCUGUCCUUUCAUGUGGAAAAUGGAUAUAAUUAUACCUACUUUUCAGGAUUCUUCUGAGGAUAAAUUAGAGGGCCUGUCACUACAGUGAGCAUUCAAGAAAUGGGAUUAUUAUCAUUAUCAGAGGGUAAAGAUGCACAGCAUUACUGGCAAUUAAAGAUAUGGAAAUUAUGACAAAUUAAAGGUAGCAUGAUGUAUCUAUUGGAGUAACAAAAAGAUACCCAAAUUCACAAAAAGGCUUGCACGAGAAUAUUCAUAGCAGCUUUAUCCAUAAUUUGCAAAUCCUGGAAAGAGCCCAGGCGUCCAUGAGUGGAUAAACAACUUGUGGUAUAUUCAUACAAUGGAAUACUUCUCAGCAGUAAAAGGAACGACUCACCCAUACAUGCAAUAAGGUGGAUGGAUCGGAAAAUCAUCACACUGAGCAAAAGAGGCCUCUCACAAAAGAUUUCAAACCAUAUGAUUGCAUUUAUAUGAAAUUCCAGAACUCUAGAAGAAACUUACCUAUGGUAGAAAAAAUCAAAAUAGUGAUUGCUUUCGGAGGAUGGGGUCAGGGAUUGACCAAGAAGGGGCAUGAGGGAAUUUUCUGGAAUAACAGAACUGUUCUAUAUCAUGAUAGGGGAUUGCAUGUGCAUUUGUCAAAACACAGAAAAGGCACACUUACAAUCUGUGCAUUUCAUUAUAUGUAAGAUUUAUCUCAAAAGGGAAAACUAUAAAUAAAUAUUGAACUCUGGUUAAUAACGUGCAUGCUGAAGUAUUUGAGGGGAGUGUACCGGUGUCUGCAAUUUACUUUGAAAUAUAUAAAAAGCAAGAUGAAUUCUUGGGUGGCUAGAUGGGUGGAUAUGAGAUAAAGCAAAUACAGUGAAAUCUUAAAGGUGGAAUCCAGGUGGUGAGUGUUCACUGUAAAAUUAUUUCAACUUCUCUGCAUGUUUGAAAUUUUUCAUAAUAAAAUAUUAGGACAAAAAAGAACUCAUAUUUGUAGGAAUCCUGAACUCAUUCUACAUGGUGGCCUUGGAAAUAUUGUAUUGAUCUUUCUGUGGAACAUUUGGGCCAUAUGUACACAUUUUGACCCAUUAAUUCCUCUUUGGGUAAUAUGGCCCAAAGAACUGUAAAGAUUUUCCCUUCUCUAUACUCAUCAGAGAGCUGGGCCUAGAAAACGGACUAGUAUGGACGGGUUAGGUGGAUAAAUCCAUGAGUUUCUGGAGAUACAGGAGAAGGAUCAUUUGUGAGAAAGAUGCAACCACCUGAAGAGCAGAUUCAGCCUCUUCAUUCUCUGCCUUCUGCCUGCAGGUCAGAUGAGACUGACCAAGUAGCCAGAUGUGUUUUAAACAGAUCACUCAGCAUUGUUCUACCACAAACAGCUACUAUUUGUUGACUGUCUACUACCUCCAGCCCCUUGAUGUUCACCAUCUGAUGCUCUCAACAAUCCUACAAAGUAAGGAUCACCAUCCUCACCUGCAGAUAAAGAGAGUGAGGCUCAGGGAGGGUGAGUGGUUUGUCGAAGGCCAUGCACCUAAUGAGAGUUUGAAUCAAGUCUGUCCAAUUUACAGCUUACCCUCUUUCCACUCUGUCAAGCUGUGUUUGAAGAAUUCAAAUGAUUUUGGCCUAACUAGGAUUGCUCCUAAAGGAACCAGAGAUGUCUGUCAUCCUGAAACAAAACAGUAGACAGUGAAAGACUGAAUGGUACAUCUUCUCGGCUCUCGGGUAAGGUGUCUGAUGGAAGCUCCACACUUUAUAGGUUCAGGGGCCAUCGCAGGAUCCUGUUGGAAUAAGGCCAUAGGGGGAACAGGGAGGCAGCCUCCGCUGGCUGACUCACCGAUACCAUGAUUCCAUGCUCACUUUCCAGGUCAAACUGUGCCAAUCUGAGGCCUAAGCUCAAACUGCCUUCAACUCUUCUCACUUGUGUCUUUCGCCAGCUCAGCAAAGAGGAACUAGGAGAGAGGAAAGAGGCACAGGCUGACGCUCUAUCACUCCUCCCCUCUGAGAACAUCGCUCUGUUUGUGAGCACCUCUCCAGCCCUCCUCCUAGCCUGUUUCCUGAUUAGCACCCCUCUCCCCACCCUAGCUCCAGCCCCACACACAGACACACACAUGUGUAUACACACACACACACACACACACACACACACACACACAGUGCCACUCUCCCCAC
RNAcentral lists this long non-coding RNA (10649 nucleotides) under Equus caballus (horse). RNAcentral's name for it is "lncRNA (ENSECAG00000054358.1)". The record is from RNAcentral. Lineage: Eukaryota; Metazoa; Chordata; Mammalia; Perissodactyla; Equidae.